AAAUCAAGUGAACUGGAAAACGCAAAAGAAAUUUAACCGUACCGGAAACCGCCACUGGUGAAGGAGUAGAAAUCUACAAAGGUGAUCGAAAGAACCAUUUUUAAGGAACUCGGCAAAAUGACCCCGUAACUUAGGAAGAAGGGGGACCUUAAAUGCCUAGGGUUAUUUAAGGUGGCACGAAAUCGGGGGUAGCAACUGUUUACCAAAAACACAAGACUUUGCUAAGUUGUAAAACGCUGUAUAAGGUCUGACACCUGCCCGGUGCUGCAAGCUAAAAGGGAAAGGUGAAAUUUAUUCUAUCGAAUAGAUGGAGCUUUGAACUGAUUGUCCAGUAAACGGCGG
RNAcentral lists this ribosomal RNA (342 nucleotides) under Chloropicon primus. RNAcentral describes it as "partial Bacterial large subunit ribosomal RNA". It matches the Rfam family "Bacterial large subunit ribosomal RNA", at positions 1597 to 1933 of the family's 2925-position model. Lineage: Eukaryota; Viridiplantae; Chlorophyta; Chloropicophyceae; Chloropicales; Chloropicaceae. The record is from RNAcentral.